Molecule: unclassified non-coding RNA, 342 nt
Filed under: soil metagenome
Description: partial contains 5.8S ribosomal RNA, internal transcribed spacer 2, and large subunit ribosomal RNA
Rfam family: 5.8S ribosomal RNA (bases 1-120)
Source: RNAcentral
GAUGAAGAACGUAGCGAAAUGCGAUAAGUAGUGUGAAUUGCAGAAUUCAGUGAAUCAUCGAAUCUUUGAACGCACAUUGCGGCCAUAGGUAUUCCUUUGGCCAUGCCUGUUCGAGCGUCAUUUACACCCUCAAGCCUAGCUUGGUGUUGGGCGUCUGUCCCGCCGUUUUCGCGCGCGGACUCGCCUCAAAGUCAUUGGCGGCGGUCGUGCCGGCCCCCUCGCGCAGCACAUUUGCGCGUCUCGGAGGCCCGGCGGAUCCGCGCUCCAGCAAGACCUUUCACGACUUGACCUCGGAUCAGGUAGGGAUACCCGCUGAACUUAAGCAUAUCAAUAAGCGGAGGA